Mauremys reevesii (Reeves's turtle) is the source of this 776-nucleotide long non-coding RNA. RefSeq lists it as uncharacterized. The record is from RefSeq and is a predicted model, not a curated record. The transcript is spliced from 4 exons. Lineage: Eukaryota; Metazoa; Chordata; Testudines; Geoemydidae.
AAACAGCAGGGUCAAAUACCAGCUGAGGUAGACAGACAGAUGGCUGUUUUGGAUCACUGUACAGCAUAACAGAUGUCAGAAUUGAGGACCAGAGAACUCUGCCAAAUUAAUUAAGAUUCUUCCACCAGUCUGGAUGGGAAGAAUUGAGCUCCGUAGCAAGGUGUGGCCUCCCUCUGAGAUUGACCAGGAGGGACCACAACCCUCCGCCUGCUGGGCAGAGCCAGGAAGGCCACGCCCUGCCUGCCAGAACUGGAAGGGCAGGACAGGAAGAGGAAAUAUAAAAGGCUGGCCCUGCUGCUCAGUUGGGCUGGAACUACCAAGGGAGAUAGACACAUCCUGCUUGCUUCUGGAUCCCAAAGAGGACCCCAGCCACACCAAGGACUGGCAAGCACUCCCAGGUCACCGGCUGAUGGAGCUGCUGAGGAGCUGCUGGGGUUGCCCCCUGAGGACUGGCCAGAGUCACCAGCCAACCAGGACACCAACGAGCUGCUGCUGGCCACCUGCCCUGGGGAAAUGGAGGACAACUACAAUGUAGAGUGGGGGAGCCUGUGAUUUUGGAACAGAAGUAUGCCAGUUCAUUGUCUGCUGCUGCCGCCAUGAAGCAUAGUGACAAAAAUGAAGUUUGAGGUGAACACAGAUUUGUUACAAUAUUUUGUCAUAUGUUCAAGGGGACUAGACAAACAUGCCUUCCUUUUCAUUGUUCACUUAUUCUAUUAGAGGCUUUAGUCUGUAGACAGAUGUUAACAUACAUGUUUUCUCCAGAGUUCUUUGCAUAA